This 411-nucleotide long non-coding RNA is filed under the name Nicotiana benthamiana. RNAcentral describes it as "long non-coding RNA (NBEN_LNC025364)". The record is from RNAcentral. Lineage: Eukaryota; Viridiplantae; Streptophyta; Magnoliopsida; Solanales; Solanaceae.
AUAACUCCCUUCCCUAUCUCUCUCUAAAAACGGCGGAGAUUCCCCUUCACAAAAAACCAAUGACGGACCACCCCCAUUGCUGUCUUUCGUUUCUUUGGAAAUUUCAUAAAUAUGUAAAAUCAUGCUUCUCUCUUCAAGAUGUUUUAUGUCUGCAAUUUUAACAAAAAAUGGCAUAAUAUUUUAAGUUUCUACUUCUUAGUUGAUUUGGGCUUCAAAUAUGGAGGUUGAUUGAGUUGAGGUGCUGUUCGAAGUUGUUUCACUUGAGUUCCAUCCAUUUCAGAUUUCGGCUUUAGCUGUUAGCUCACCUUGUUCGUGUAAUUGCUGAAAAUUUCAGUCAGUCGAAGGUCUAAUUUUAGGUGUGAAGAAGCUGUGUUAGCUGGAUUUAUUUCUUUAAAUUUGAUGAACUCUUCC